CAGGAUGAACGCUGGCGGCGUGCUUAACACAUGCAAGUCGAACGGUGAAGCCAAGCUUGCUUGGUGGAUCAGUGGCGAACGGGUGAGUAACACGUGAGCAACUGCCUGGACUCUGGGAUAAGCGCUGGAAACGGCGUCUAAUACUGGAUAUGAGCCUCUUCCGCAUGGUGGGGGUUGGAAAGAUUUUUUGGUCUGGGAUGGGCUCGCGGCCUAUCAGCUUGUUGGUGAGGUAAUGGCUCACCAAGGCGUCGACGGGUAGCCGGCCUGAGAGGGUGACCGGCCACACUGGGACUGAGACACGGCCCAGACUCCUACGGGAGGCAGCAGUGGGGAAUAUUGCACAAUGGGCGAAAGCCUGAUGCAGCAACGCCGCGUGAGGGAUGACGGCCUUCGGGUUGUAAACCUCUUUUAGCAGGGAAGAAGCGAAAGUGACGGUACCUGCAGAAAAAGCGCCGGCUAACUACGUGCCAGCAGCCGCGGUAAUACGUAGGGCGCAAGCGUUAUCCGGAAUUAUUGGGCGUAAAGAGCUCGUAGGCGGUUUGUCGCGUCUGCUGUGAAAUCCCGAGGCUCAACCUCGGGCCUGCAGUGGGUACGGGCAGACUAGAGUGCGGUAGGGGAGAUUGGAAUUCCUGGUGUAGCGGUGGAAUGCGCAGAUAUCAGGAGGAACACCGAUGGCGAAGGCAGAUCUCUGGGCCGUAACUGACGCUGAGGAGCGAAAGGGUGGGGAGCAAACAGGCUUAGAUACCCUGGUAGUCCACCCCGUAAACGUUGGGAACUAGUUGUGGGGACCAUUCCACGGUUUCCGUGACGCAGCUAACGCAUUAAGUUCCCCGCCUGGGGAGUACGGCCGCAAGGCUAAAACUCAAAGGAAUUGACGGGGACCCGCACAAGCGGCGGAGCAUGCGGAUUAAUUCGAUGCAACGCGAAGAACCUUACCAAGGCUUGACAUACACCAGAACGGGCCAGAAAUGGUCAACUCUUUGGACACUGGUGAACAGGUGGU
This 1003-nucleotide ribosomal RNA is filed under the name Microbacterium lacticum. RNAcentral describes it as "bacterial SSU rRNA". It matches the Rfam family "Bacterial small subunit ribosomal RNA", at positions 25 to 1042 of the family's 1533-position model. Lineage: Bacteria; Bacillati; Actinomycetota; Actinomycetes; Micrococcales; Microbacteriaceae. The record is from RNAcentral.